RNAcentral lists this ribosomal RNA (205 nucleotides) under uncultured bacterium. RNAcentral describes it as "partial 16S ribosomal RNA". It matches the Rfam family "Bacterial small subunit ribosomal RNA", at positions 570 to 774 of the family's 1533-position model. The record is from RNAcentral.
CGUAGGCGGGCGAGCAAGUCCGGGGUGAAAGCCUCCGGCUUAACCGGAGAAGGGCCUUGGAUACUGCUCGUCUUGAGGGAGGUAGGGGCUUGUGGAACUUCCGGUGGAGCGGUGAAAUGCGUUGAUAUCGGAAGGAACGCCGGUGGCGAAAGCGACAAGCUGGCCCUCUUCUGACGCUGAGGCGCGAAAGCUAGGGGAGCAAACG